UUAAGUUCAGCGGGUAUUCCUACCUGAUCCGAGGUCAACCUUAAAAAAUUGGGGGUUUUAUGGCAAAAACUACAGAACCUUCCAAAGCGAGAAAAAAUUACUACGCUCAGAGGCCACUGCGGCUCCGCCACUAGAUUUAAGGAACUACAAACGUAGAUUCCCAACACUAAGCCAGGCUUAAGUGGUCAAAAUGACGCUCG
This 200-nucleotide unclassified non-coding RNA is filed under the name Hypocreales sp. Its description in RNAcentral is "partial internal transcribed spacer 2". Lineage: Eukaryota; Fungi; Ascomycota; Sordariomycetes; Hypocreales. The record is from RNAcentral.